UCUAUAAAUAAAGCUGAGAAGUCCAAUUCUAGAAGUCUGGAGUCAGAGUUGUUAUGGGUCAGUGUGAAUUUACCCAACAGUUCUUAUGAAUACCAGUGUUUUCAUUGACUUGAUCACAGCUGAUCUCUGGGACAUAUAUAAUACACACACAUGUAUUAAUAUUAACAUUUUUAAAAGGUAAGUAAUUUGAAAUUUCCCUCAAGUUUAAAUCAAUCUACAGCCUAAUAAUUAUUCUUAGGGAGAAAAGACAAUAACAAACAUUAAUUAACUGCUCACUAUUUUAGGGGCCAGAUAUUCUUCUAAGUGAUUUCUCUAAAGUACUAUUAUUUUUACAGGAAGGAAAUUGAAUGAUAGUGUUAAGUAACUCACUUAAGAUGACACUGUUAAAUAAGCAAACCCAGGCAAUUUGACUUCAGAU
This 418-nucleotide long non-coding RNA is filed under the name Homo sapiens (human). RNAcentral describes it as "non-protein coding lnc-STMN2-5:1". The record is from RNAcentral. Lineage: Eukaryota; Metazoa; Chordata; Mammalia; Primates; Hominidae.